CCGGUGCUUCAGUGACCCGAGCUGCUGUGUGCGUGGCCUCCGUCCGCCCAGUCAUUCUGGCCUGUCUGUGACUGCUCAGGGGGUUUGGGCAGAGUGGGUGGAAAUGUCUUGCUGUACGAGAUCCAGGCUUAGGUCCCUUCCCCUGUUAUUUGUGUGGUGCUGGGGAUGGCGGGGGUAGGGGGACGAGGGAGAAGCUUUAAGGGUCAAGCCUGAGCAUCUGGGACACGAGCUGGGAGCUAAGCCUCAUCGGAAGAAGCCGGGUAGGCUGGCCUGGGAAGGUUCUUGGAGGCAGCAGCCCUCUAGAGUGUGAGGAAAGUGUUGGGAUUGCAGGUGCGCUCCCCUGGGGCCCCAGGGCCCCUGACUCUGAAGGAGGUGGAGGAGCUGGAGCAGCUGACCCAGCAGCUAAUGCAGGACAUGGAGCAUCCUCAGAGGCAGAACGUGGCUGUCAACGAACUCUGCGGCCGAUGCCAUCAACCCCUGGCCCGGGCGCAGCCAGCCGUCCGCGCUCUGGGGCAGCUGUUCCACAUCGCCUGCUUCACCUGCCACCAGUGUGCGCAGCA
RNAcentral lists this small RNA (560 nucleotides) under Pan troglodytes (chimpanzee). RNAcentral describes it as "retained intron". Lineage: Eukaryota; Metazoa; Chordata; Mammalia; Primates; Hominidae. The record is from RNAcentral.